AGCAGCCGCGGUAAUUCCAGCUCCAAUAGCGUAUAUUAAAGUUGUUGCAGUUAAAAAGCUCGUAGUUGAAUUUCGGGGUUCUACCGUUGGUCGGGCAAUUGUCUGUACUGGCGUGUGGAAUUUCUACCUUCUGGGGAACCAUCAUGUUAUUAAUUUAGCGUGGUGGGAAACCAGGACCUUUACCUUGAAAAAAUUAGAGUGUUCAAAGCAGGCUUACGUCUGAAUACAUUAGCAUGGAAUAAUAAAAUAGGACGGUGGUCCUGUUUUGUUGGUUUCUGAAUCACCGUAAUGAUUAAUAGGGAUAGUUGGGGGCAUUAGUAUUCAAUUGUCAGAGGUGAAAUUCUUGGAUUUAUUGAAGACUAACUUCUGCGAAAGCAUUUGCCAAGGAUGUUUUCAUUAAUCAAGAACGAAA
RNAcentral lists this ribosomal RNA (412 nucleotides) under uncultured Gigaspora. RNAcentral describes it as "SSU rRNA". It matches the Rfam family "Eukaryotic small subunit ribosomal RNA", at positions 569 to 988 of the family's 1831-position model. The record is from RNAcentral. Lineage: Eukaryota; Fungi; Glomeromycota; Glomeromycetes; Diversisporales; Gigasporaceae.